AAAAUUCCUGACAGCAUUAAUAUAAGGAGAUGAUGUGCCACUACAGGAAAAAUGUGGCCAAUGAAAUUUUGCUGGCAUCAGUGUGAAGAGAGGAGUACUGCUCUGUGUGUGGAGAAAAAGAAAGAGCCCAAACAGAGGAGCAAUGCAUCUGGAUUCAAUGUGAAUUAUGCCAGAGGUAGUUUCAUGUUCAGUGCCUCAACAUUAAUCUGCUACCAGAAGAACAAGCAUGGAUUUGUGAUGUGUGUUUGUAAGCUAUUUAGUUAGAGGAGCUGAUGCUGAAAGUGUGUUUCAAUUGUAAGAAAAUUGUUUUGCACUGAUAAGGGACAACGCAAACUAUGAAAACAUAUUUUAUUACAUAAACAGUUUAUACAUAGAAAAUAAUUAAAUUUUCGAUUCAUCAAAAUAUCCACCAUUAGCAGCUGAAAACCUGGGCCAAGUUUAAACCAGUAACCAGGCAUCACAGCUGGCAAAGGGGCAUGUCUGACUUUGACAUGUAUAUAUUGCCAUUAUUAUGUAAUCAAAAUGAAAAUUAUUAUUGCUGGUCUUCAAUGAUAAUGUCAAGUUACUUUAAUGUACAGUAUUUGCACCAAAAAAAAUGAUAAGGAUUUAUGCUGAUGUCAUCCAAAACCACA
Onychostoma macrolepis is the source of this 632-nucleotide long non-coding RNA. RefSeq lists it as uncharacterized. Lineage: Eukaryota; Metazoa; Chordata; Actinopteri; Cypriniformes; Cyprinidae. The transcript is spliced from 3 exons. The record is from RefSeq and is a predicted model, not a curated record.